Molecule: ribosomal RNA, 510 nt
Filed under: uncultured bacterium
Lineage: Bacteria
Description: partial 16S ribosomal RNA
Rfam family: Bacterial small subunit ribosomal RNA
Source: RNAcentral
GACGAACGCUGGCGGCGUGCUUAACACAUGCCAGUCGAACGAAGAGCGAUGGAAGCUUGCUUCUAUCAAUCUUAGUGGCGAACGGGUGAGUAACGCGUAAUCAACCUGCCCUUCAGAGGGGGACAACAGUUGGAAACGACUGCUAAUACCGCAUACGAUCUAAUCUCGGCAUCGAGGAUAGAUGAAAGGUGGCCUCUACAUGUAAGCUAUCACUGAAGGAGGGGAUUGCGUCUGAUUAGCUAGUUGGAGGGGUAACGGCCCACCAAGGCGAUGAUCAGUAGCCGGUCUGAGAGGAUGAACGGCCACAUUGGGACUGAGACACGGCCCAGACUCCUACGGGAGGCAGCAGUGGGGAAUCUUCCGCAAUGGACGAAAGUCUGACGGAGCAACGCCGCGUGAGUGAUGACGGCCUCCGGGUUGUAAAGCUCUGUUAAUCGGGACGAAAGGCCUUCUUGCGAACAGUUAGAAGGAUUGACGGUACCGGAAUAGAAAGCCACGGCUAACUACGUG